GAGUUUGAUCCUGGCUCAGAACGAACGCUGGCGGCAGGCCUAACACAUGCAAGUCGAGCGCUACCUUCGGGUGGAGCGGCGGACGGGUUAGUAACGCGUGGGAAUAUACCCUUCACUAUGGAAUAGCCUCGGGAAACUGAGAGUAAUACCAUAUACGCCCUUCGGGGGAAAGAUUUAUCGGUGAAGGAUUAGCCCGCGUAAGAUUAGAUAGUUGGUGGGGUAAUGGCCUACCAAGUCUACGAUCUUUAGCUGGUUUUAGAGGAUGAUCAGCAACACUGGGACUGAGACACGGCCCAGACUCCUACGGGAGGCAGCAGUGGGGAAUCUUAGACAAUGGGCGCAAGCCUGAUCUAGCCAUGCCGCGUGAGUGAUGAAGGUCUUAGGAUCGUAAAGCUCUUUCGCUAGGGAUGAUAAUGACAGUACCUAGUAAAGAAGCCCCGGCUAACUCCGUGCCAGCAGCCGCGGUAAUACGGAGGGGGCUAGCGUUGUUCGGAAUUACUGGGCGUAAAGCGUACGUAGGCGGAUCAGAAAGUAUGGGGUGAAAUCCCAGGGCUUAACCCUGGAACUGCCUCAUAAACUCCUGGUCUUGAGUUCGAGAGAGGUGAGUGGAAUUCCAAGUGUAGAGGUGAAAUUCGUAGAUAUUUGGAGGAACACCAGUGGCGAAGGCGGCUCACUGGCUCGAUACUGACGCUGAGGUACGAAAGUGUGGGGAGCAAACAGGAUUAGAUACCCUGGUAGUCCACACCGUAAACGAUGAAUGCCAGUCGUCGGGCAGUAUACUGUUCGGUGACACACCUAACGGAUUAAGCAUUCCGCCUGGGGAGUACGGUCGCAAGAUUAAACUCAAGGAAUUGACGGGGGCCC
Molecule: ribosomal RNA, 864 nt
Filed under: uncultured bacterium
Lineage: Bacteria
Description: bacterial SSU rRNA
Rfam family: Bacterial small subunit ribosomal RNA
Source: RNAcentral